Molecule: long non-coding RNA, 2708 nt
Filed under: Homo sapiens (human)
Lineage: Eukaryota; Metazoa; Chordata; Mammalia; Primates; Hominidae
Description: HSALNT0246223
Source: RNAcentral
UCUCUACCGAAAAUACAAAAUUAGCUGGGCGCGGUGGCGCAUGCCUGUAAUCCCAGCUACUUGGGAGGCUGAGGCAGGAGAAUCGCUUGAACCCAGGAGGUGGAGGUUGUGGUGAGCUGAGAUUGCGCCAUUGCACUCCAAUUGGGCAACAAGAGCGACACUCCAUCUCAAAAAAGAAAAAAAAAAGAAAGAAAAAGAAAAAGAAAUAUGGAACAUAAAAGUUACCAUUUUAAUCGUUUAAAAGUGUACAGGCCAGGCGCAGUGGCUCACACCUGUGAUCCCAGCACUUUGGGAGGCCGAGGCAGGCAGAUCACCUGAGGUCAGGGGAUCAAGACCAUUCCGGCCAACAUGGUGAAACCCCGUCUCUACUAAAAAUACAAAAAUUAACCAGGUACACAGGCACACGCCUGUAGUCCCAGCUACUCGGGAGGCUGAGGCAGGAGAAUCGCUUGAACCCAGGGGCCAGAGGUUGCAGUGAGCCGAGAUCACACCACUGCACUCCAGCCUGGCAACAGAGCAAGACUCUGUCUCAAAAAAAAGUGUACAAUUGGCUGGGUGCGGUGGCUCACGCCUGUAAUCCCAGCACUUUAGGAGGCCAAGGAGGGUGGAUCACCUGAGGUCAGGAGUUCAAGACCAGCCUGGCCAACGUAUCGAAAUUCUGUUUGUAUUAAAAAUACAAAAAUCAGCUGGGUGUGGUGGCACACACCUAUAAUCCCAGCUACUUGAGAAGCUGAGGCAAGAGAAUCGCUUGAACCCAGGAGGCAGAUGCUGCAGUGAGCUGAGAUUGCACCACUGCACUCCAGCCUGGAUGACAGAGCCAGGAUGGUCUUGUUCUCCUGACCUCGUGAUCUGCCAGCCUCAGCCUCCCAAAGUGCUGGGAUUACAGGUGUGAGCCACUGCUCCCAGCAGUUUUUUUUUUUGUUUUUUUUUUUUUGAGACAGGGUCUUGCUCUGUCAUCCAGGCUGGAGUGCAGUGGCUCAAUCACAGCUGACUGCAACCUCAAUCUCCCCAGGUUCAAGUGAUCCUCCCACCUCACCCUUCUGAGUAGCUGGGUUACUACAAGCGUGUGCCACCAGGACAGGCUAAUUUUUUGUAUCUUUUGUUGUGGGAUUUUGCCAUGUUGCCCAGGCUGGUUUUGGACUCCUGGGCUCAAGCGAUCUGCCUGCCUAAGGCUCCCAAAGUGUUGGGAUUACAGGUGUGAGCCAUCAUGCCCUCACUGUCACUAUUUUCCUUUUUUUUUUUUUUUAUUUUUUGUGGCCAUCCUACUGGAUGUGAAGUGAUAUCUCACUGUUAUUUUGAUUUGCACUUCCCUAAUGAUCCCCUGAUGAUGUUGAGUAUCUUUUUCAUCUCCCGGUUGGCCAUGUGUAUAUCUGCUUGGGAGAAAAUAAAGUCCUUUGCUCAUUUUUAAAUUGGGUUCUUUUUGUUGUUGAUUUGUAGGCGUUCUUUACAUAUUGUGGAUACUAGAUCCUUAUCAGACAUAAUUUUGUGGGGUUUGGGGUUUUUUUGUUUGUUUUUGAGAUAGGGUCUCACUGUGUCACCCAGACUAGAGUGCAGUGGCUCAAUCACAGCUCACUGCAGUCUCAAACCUCAAACUCCUAUCAAGAGAUCCUUUCUCCUCAGCCUCCUGAGUAGCUGGGACCACAGGCAGGCCACCACCAUGCUCAGCUAAUAAAAAAAAAAUUGGGGCCAGGCAUGCUGGCUCACACAUGUAAUCCCAGCACCUUGGGAGGCUGAGGCGGGCAGAUCACGAGGUCAGGAGAUUGAGACCAUCCUGGCUAACACGGUGAAACCCCGUCUCUACUAAAAAAUAUGAAAAGAUUAGCUAGGUGUGGUGGUGGGCACUUGUAGUACCAGCUGCUGGGGAGGCUGAGGCAGGAGAAUGGCAUGAACCCGGGAGGUGGAGCUUGCAGUGAGCUGAGAUCACACCACUGCACUCCAGCCUAGGUGACAGAGCAAGACCCCAUGUCAAAAAAAAAAAAAAAAAAAUUGGCUGGGUGCGGUGGCUCACGUCUGUAAUCCCAGCACUUUGGGAGGCCAAGGCAAGCAAAUCACCUGCGGUUGGGAGUUCAAGAUCAGCCCGAGCAACAUGGAGAAACCCCGCCUCUACUAAAAAUACAAAAUUAGCUAGGUGUGGUGGCGCAUGCCUGUAAUCCCAGCUACUCGGGAGGCUGAGGCAAGACAAUCGCUUGAACCCAGGAGGCGGAGGUUGUGGUGUGAGCCAAGAUCACACCAUUGGACUCCAGCUUGGGCAACAGAGGGAAACUGCGUUUCAAAAAAAAAAAUUUGUAGAGACAAGGUCUUGCCAAGUUGCCCAGGGAACCUGCACUGGGCAGUUCCGGAAGAGCUGCAGCUUUCAACGCUUCGAGAGUGCGUGACUGUCCCUGGUCCCCAUGCCCUGGCCAGUGCUCAGAACUACCCAUCUCCUGAUUUCUGCUCAUCUGAUAGCCACAAACUGGCAUCUAAUUUGUUUUAAUGUGCAUUUGCUGAUGCCCAGUGUCCAUGAGCAUCUCACAGUUUGUCCUGUAAGUGCAAUGCUUCACAGGACAAAGAGAAUUUCUAUCUUUUGCAGGUAUCAGAGUCGCUGAGAAGAGUCAUGCUGUGAUGUGAGGUCACAGAACAAGGUAGGGUGGGAGCCUGGAGCUCAGUAAGCUCUCUGCAAUUUAUGUUUGCCUCCACCCCGACCCCCACCAAGCUUGAGCCUCCUCUCC